Molecule: long non-coding RNA, 974 nt
Organism: Gadus morhua (Atlantic cod)
Lineage: Eukaryota; Metazoa; Chordata; Actinopteri; Gadiformes; Gadidae
Exons: 2
Source: RefSeq, a predicted model, not a curated record
UCUCUCUUUCUCUCUCUCGCUCUCUCUCUGUCUCUCUCUCUUUAGUUCUAGACAGAGGACCCCCCCUCUGUCUCAUUUUGAACUCUCUAUCGUUUCCUCAUUGUUCCUGUUUGAUAAUGUUCAGAGUGCGCCACAGACUUGUGUGAUUUGACAAGUCAUCUUUUGUAGUGUUCAUGAGUGACUGGGUCCUUUGUGUCUCGACUUUAAUUGCUUGUGGUCAGAGUCGCUGGAGUCGAAGUUCAAAGCUGCUCCUGUCGCGCUUCACUGGGAGCCCAUAAGGUGCCAGGGCGAGGGCUUCGAUUCCCACCCGCUUCCACCCAGACUCAAAUGUGUGCUCUCACCAUGUUGAGAGGAUGUCCCAGAGGAGCAGCAUGCGUAGGGACCUCUAUUGAACUGCGUCUCACAGGCUCCUAAUUGGCAGUUUGAAGAAGUCAAGCAACCCAUGAUGGCUCCCUCAGCUGCCGACCCCCCAGCCCAGCCCUUCCCUCCCCAACCCCACCAUCCCCAACACCAUUACCACCACCACCUCCAAAAUGGCUGCCCAGCCACAGCCAUGUUCCACAUGUGCGCUGGUCCGGUGCAGAGCUCAGCUGUAAAUCCCCCUAUUUAGGUUUUUAUUCUCUCUCUGUUUCUUUCUUUCCUCGUAUUUUAUUAUCCUCUGUCCCUGGCGUCUGCUGUGCUCUGAUUUGUCAGCUCACCAUUGGGUGUAACAGAACACCGCACUAACCGACAUUUAGGUCAUUUCCUGCUCCUCAGACCAGAUAUUAUGGUGCCGCAAAGGUAGCCGAUGUUGCCAGAUUGAAGCUCUGUGUUGCCAUAUUGGGGACUCGGCUAAUCUAAUUAGAGAGCGAGGGUAAGAGGCCCCGGGGGCACGCGAGACUCGGGGCCCCCGGAGGGAGCCAGAAUUGUUUUGGUACAGUUUCUUUUUCCCCCAUCAGAAAAAUGAAAUGAAAUAAAAAAAACGUGGUAACGUC